AUUGAACGCUAGCGGGAUGCUUUACACAUGCAAGUCGAACGAGUGGCGGACGGGUGAGUAAUAUAUCGGAACGUGCCCAGUAGCGGGGGAUAACUACUCGAAAGAGUGGCUAAUACCGCAUACCAUCGGAGCGGCCGAUAUGGGAUUAGCUAGUAGGUGGGGUAAAGGCUCACCAAGGCAACGAUCCCUAGCUGGUUUGAGAGGACGACCAGCCACACUGGAACUGAGACACGGCCCAGACUCCUCCGGGAGGCAGCAGUGGGGAAUUUUGGACAUUGGGGGCAACCUGGAUGCAGCCAUCCCGCGUGUAUGAGAAGGCCUUCGGGUUGUACAGUACUUUUGGCAAGGAAGCGGUAUCUGCAGAAUAAGCACCGGCUAACUCCGUGCCAGCAGCCGCGGUAAUAG
RNAcentral lists this ribosomal RNA (405 nucleotides) under uncultured bacterium. RNAcentral describes it as "partial 16S ribosomal RNA". It matches the Rfam family "Bacterial small subunit ribosomal RNA", at positions 30 to 526 of the family's 1533-position model. The record is from RNAcentral.